This is a long non-coding RNA of Syzygium oleosum, 1278 nucleotides long. RefSeq lists it as uncharacterized. NCBI's taxonomy places the organism in Eukaryota, Viridiplantae, Streptophyta, Magnoliopsida, Myrtales, Myrtaceae. The record is from RefSeq and is a predicted model, not a curated record. The transcript has 3 exons.
CAUGUCUAAGGAAUUUGGUCUUCUAGCUAUCACUUUGGCCUCUGAGGACGACCAACCUCUCUCGGCAAGAUGAUACUCGCCAUCUUAUAUAGGUCUAUCACUGACUUUCAAUCUUCAUUCACGACUGAACAUCCGAUCCCUUUUUCGUACCCCUUUGGCUCCUUCAGGCUUGGAUCAAAUUGUAUUUUCCGACCCUCUUUAAUGCAUUUUCUGAAGUCCCCUAGCGAUGGUAUGAGGUGAACUCUCAUCCUCUUGGUCUUGAUAACUUCGGUAUAACUAUCCUCUCCAAGCCACCGAAGCAAUGCUCUUCACAUCUCUCUCUCUUCGCUUUCUUCCUUAAACACUUUCUUUCGACUAAAGAGGAGUCUUUGGAUUUUGAUUCUGCCCUUCAUUCUGGCCUAUACCCUAUUUCCGAUUGGUUUCCAGAUCCUACCUCAAGAAAAUAUCCAGAGGAUGAAGAUUUAUGGAUGCAGACUCUUACUUCUGCGGAUCUACCCCUGUUCUUCUCUGACGAUGGCAAGUUUCGUCCUGGGUUCGAAGUGUAUCAUCUCCAGUAUUGUGCUCGGCAAUUUGGAAUGAGUCAGGGAAUCCUUAUGCCUUGCGUAUAUUCUAUUGACUUUCCUUUUGUACCUCCAAAAUGCCAGUAUCCCCAAGCGGCGUUCCGAUGUCAGGAAGUUGUCAGAGACGAGAUGGUUUCCCGCUCCUGCUAUGUUAGCUUUCGUAUACACGCACGGGCUACCCCUUCUUUCGAAGAUUGGUGGAUUCCAUACCGAGAUGCCCUGUUCUCUGAUGGUACCAAAGCUAUUCUCCUUUGCGUGGCCAAGGCUUCGACUCCUGAAUUUCAGUCUUUGCGGACCCUGCGAUGCUGGUCACCCAUCUUCUCUCGGCAUUUCCUCGCAUUUUGUAGAGUCUUUCUGAUCUAGAUCUAUUCGCAGUGGGAGUAGAGACGCCACUUCUCGGGAUGAUGCAUGCUUAUAGGGGCUUCUCUCUUUCCAUUGACUCGGUUCUUGAGGUGUACCGAGAUAACUACAUUAGACUAGCCUCUACUGAAGCACUCGAAACCGAAUAUCGGUGGAAGGAAAUGGAAAAGGGUCGAUGCCGAAGAGGAACUCCGAAUUAUGUUAGAUCAAUUGAUUGCUAAUCAACAAGAUAACAGAAGGCUCCUUGGUGAAAUUGGUCCUAGUGAUCCACUUUAUACUGACAUUCUUCAACGAGUUAGGCUCAAUGGAGCAUCUGCAGUUCUGACCACUCAACUCAUACAUCAGCGGCAAGAUAUUU